Molecule: ribosomal RNA, 570 nt
Filed under: Triticum aestivum (bread wheat)
Lineage: Eukaryota; Viridiplantae; Streptophyta; Magnoliopsida; Poales; Poaceae
Description: partial small subunit ribosomal RNA
Source: RNAcentral
AUGGAGAACGCCCGCCCUCGCCUCGCUCCUCCGGCCCGCCCACCAACCUACCCGGGCCCCGAUCCGCGCGGAGGGGGGGGGGAGGAAAUGGCGGUGGUCCUCGCGUGGCUCAACGCCAGGGUCGUCGAUCCCCUGCUGCAGCUCAUCCAGAGGGGCGCGGAGCCAAAGCAGCUGGCCUUCUCCGCCGCGCUCGGCGUCACCAUCGGGGUCUUCCCCAUCUGCGAUCGGCUACCCUACUCGAUAAGUAUUCUGCUCGAGUCGGCAAUCAGAAACUGCGACGAGUUCCAGGUCACGGGGAAGGACGUUGAGAAGAUCCUAGACUGGGAGAACAGUGCCACCAAGCAAGUCGAAAUCCCGUUCAAGCUAGCCCGUGUCCUCCUCAAGGAUUUCAUUGGUGUCCCAGCAGUUGUUGAUCUUGCUUGUAUGAGGGAUGCUAUGAGCAAACUUGGGAGUGACCCGAACAAAAUUAAUCCUCUGUUGCUGAUGAGUAGAGGCUGGUCAAAUCCUCGAUGUCCUACAUUGCCUGCUAUCUUAUUCAGUUUUUUUCUUCCCUGUAUCUGUCAAGCUUAG